UGAAGACACAUCUUUAAAGGAGCAAAAGAACUCCUUCAACAUUUGAAAGAUUUUUUUCACUGAGCAUCAUCGAAUUUACAACUAAAUUCGUGUUCUUCAUUGUUCUUAAAAAUAUCACACGGUGAUACAAUCAUUUGGCCACUUCUAAUAAGUACCUUUGAUUGCAUCAUAUGUGUAGGAUGUGGGAACAUUAGAUGCUGGAUCCGUAAUCAUAUAUAGGAUCUAUUUAUGCUCUAAAACUAUUUAUAACUUUCGAUAUUAUCUAUCGAAGUUGGAUCCUAUAAAUAAGUCACUGUCAAACAGUAGACAGAGCAACAGAUAUAUAGUUAUAACUAAAAAAAAAUACAAGAUCUCUAUGUUUAUGAAUUGAUUAAGUCUAAAGAUUUGAACUUUAGUUUAAAAGUUCUUCCACUAUUUUAGUCAACUUGAUAGCCUCUACCUCC
This 443-nucleotide long non-coding RNA is filed under the name Elaeis guineensis (African oil palm). RNAcentral describes it as "long non-coding RNA (EGUI_LNC076674)". Lineage: Eukaryota; Viridiplantae; Streptophyta; Magnoliopsida; Arecales; Arecaceae. The record is from RNAcentral.